UAUCAAAUAGGUUUUUUUUUUUUUCUCUGUAUGUUAGUUUUAAUGGAACUGAGAUUUUCUUUUUUUGCUCUUUAGUUUUUGUUAUAAAUAAUGAUAUUGAUUUCUUUUUCUGGGUUCUUAGGCUCUACCAAAUCAGCAGACUGUUGAUUAUCCAAGCUUCAAGCUUGUAAUUGUUGGCGAUGGUGGUACAGGGAAAACUACCUUUGUGAAAAGGCAUCUUACAGGCGAGUUUGAGAAGAAAUAUGAGCGUAAGAACUACCUUCAUCAUUUCAGUUCAAUCUCGUACUUUUGCCUUUUUUUUUCUUUUUAAAAAUGUUAAUGCUGUAGUGCUCAUCCACUUGAAAGUGGAGGUUGGGAUGAAAAAUUGUUGGCAUUUUCUGUCAUGCGUGCGAAAUUAAUUCUCUCUUUUUAAACGCAGCAACCAUUGGCGUGGAAGUUCAUCCCUUGGACUUCUUCACCAACUGUGGAAAAAUCCGAUUCUACUGCUGGGACACAGCUGGACAAGAGAAGUUUGGUGGGCUAAGAGAUGGAUAUUAGUGAGUUAUUAGUUCCUUCUCCUCAUUGCUCAUUGCUUGAAUAGUUUAACUUGGAUAAUAACUAUUUAAUGUUUUGAGGUAUAUAAUGUUUGUUAGCUUAAUUUUGUAUAAAUUACCGUAAGGCCUUCCUGCUUUGCAAUCUGUUAAUUUUUACUCUGUAUUAUAUCUCUAGAAUCAACUUUUAAAUUUUUAAUAGAACUUUGGAAUGAAUGUUUCUGUCCCAACCAUGCAUUACAAAAGUUUUGAGAAAAUAUCCACUUCCAGGAUGUUUCAUUUUUUUUGUUUUUUUUGGUUGGUAAAGCUUGUUUGUACCGUGCAUGUCAAGGUUCCUAAAGGGUUUUAUAUGGUCACCUUUUCUUCUUUUCUGUUUUGGUAACUUUUAAAGAGGUUUCUUGUAGAUUUCAUUUCUUGAAAUUUGUUUUAGAAUGGCCUCUCAUGUUUAGGCAUUCCUGGGCUUGUUUGUUUAAUUUUUCUUCUUGUUUCUUUUAUAAUCUUGUUUUUUCAGUUUCUUCAAUUGAUUUACCAUGAAUGUGAUUGUGCAGCAUCCAUGGUCAAUGUGCUAUCAUAAUGUUUGAUGUUACUGCUCGGUUGACUUAUAAGAAUGUGCCCACAUGGCAUCGGGAUCUUUGCAGGGUUUGUGAAAAUAUCCCUAUUGUUCUUUGUGGAAACAAAGUUGAUGUGAAAAACAGGCAGGUGAAGGCAAAGCAGGUUACCUUCCACAGGAAAAAGAAUUUACAAUACUAUGAGAUUUCGGCAAAGAGCAAUUAUAAUUUUGAGAAGCCUUUUCUGUAUCUUGCAAGAAAACUUGCUGGGGAUCCUAAUUUGCAUUUUGUUGAAUCUCCAGCCCUGGCACCUCCAGAAGUGCAAAUUGACCUGGCAGCACAGCAACAGCAUGAGGCUGAGCUUGCUGCUGCUGCUAGUCAACCUCUACCAGAUGACGAUGAUGACACAUUUGAGUAAGGAGCGCUGGCGAGGUGCUAUUUGAAGGAAGAAGUUUUAAUGUAUGGUCAUGAGGAUGUAGUUUUAUGUCCAACAUGAGGAAUAUGGACUUUCAUUAUUUCUGGGUUACAUUAUUACCCGUUUGUCUCUAGUUUAGCAUUUGAUCAUUUUGUGCGGGGGUUUUGCUAUGUUUAUUCUUUCUCAUCGCACCGAAAGUUUUAAGUUGAUGCGUAAACACUGUAGGAUGUUAUAGUGUUGCCUUAUAUAUUUAUCUUGAUCUUGCAUUGAUUGUGCUUAAUUUCGUAGCAUUACUUUUCUUAGUGCGAAUGUUUCAUUUUGUAGGAAUUGCUGCCAAUG
RNAcentral lists this unclassified non-coding RNA (1832 nucleotides) under Hevea brasiliensis (rubber tree). The record is from RNAcentral. Lineage: Eukaryota; Viridiplantae; Streptophyta; Magnoliopsida; Malpighiales; Euphorbiaceae.